This 492-nucleotide ribosomal RNA is filed under the name uncultured bacterium. RNAcentral's name for it is "partial 16S ribosomal RNA". It matches the Rfam family "Bacterial small subunit ribosomal RNA", at positions 29 to 507 of the family's 1533-position model. The record is from RNAcentral.
AGUGAACGCUGGCGGUAGGCCUAACACAUGCAAGUCGAACGGCGGCACAGUAAGAGCUUGCUCUUACGGGUGGCGAGUGGCGGACGGGUGAGGAAUACAUCGGAAUCUACUUUUUCGUGGGGGAUAACGUAGGGAAACUUACGCUAAUACCGCAUACGACCUACGGGUGAAAGCAGGGGAUCUUCGGACCUUGCGCGAUUGAAUGAGCCGAUGUCGGAUUAGCUAGUUGGCGGGGUAAAGGCCCACCAAGGCGACGAUCCGUAGCUGGUCUGAGAGGAUGAUCAGCCAAACUGGAACUGAGACACGGUCCAGACUCCUACGGGAGGCAGCAGUGGGGAAUAUUGGACAAUGGGCGCAAGCCUGAUCCAGCCAUACCGCGUGGGUGAAGAAGGCCUUCGGGUUGUAAAGCCCUUUUGUUGGGAAAGAAAAGCAGCAGGUUAAUACCCCGCUGUUCUGACGGUACCCAAAGAAUAAGCACCGGCUAACUUCGUG